Molecule: ribosomal RNA, 373 nt
Filed under: uncultured prokaryote
Description: bacterial SSU rRNA
Rfam family: Bacterial small subunit ribosomal RNA
Source: RNAcentral
UACGUAUGGGGCGAGCGUUGUUCGGAGUUAUUGGGCGUAAAGGGCGUGUAGGCGGCCCAUCAAGUCUGGUGUGAAAGCGCAGGGCUCAACCCUGCGUAGGCGCUGGAAACUGGCGGGCUUGAGUUUCGAGGGGGAAGCUGGAAUUCCUGGUGUAGGAGUGAAAUCUGUAGAUAUCAGGAAGAACACCGGUGGCGAAGGCGAGCUUCUACUCGUGAACUGACGCUGAGGCGCGAAAGCGUGGGGAGCAAACAGGAUUAGAUACCCUGGUAGUCCACGCUGUAAACGAUGUGCACUAGGCGUGGGGCGCAGUGAGCGCUCUGUGCCGUAGCUAACGUGUUAAGUGCACCGCCUGGGGAGUAUGCUCGCAAGGGUG